UAGGGAAUCUUCGGCAAUGGACGGAAGUCUGACCGAGCAACGCCGCGUGAGUGAAGAAGGUUUUCGGAUCGUAAAGCUCUGUUGUAAGAGAAGAACGAGUGUGAGAGUGGAAAGUUCACACUGUGACGGUAUCUUACCAGAAAGGGACGGCUAACUACGUGCCAGCAGCCGCGGUAAUACGUAGGUCCCGAGCGUUGUCCGGAUUUAUUGGGCGUAAAGCGAGCGCAGGCGGUUAGAUAAGUCUGAAGUUAAAGGCUGUGGCUUAACCAUAGUACGCUUUGGAAACUGUUUAACUUGAGUGCAAGAGGGGAGAGUGGAAUUCCAUGUGUAGCGGUGAAAUGCGUAGAUAUAUGGAGGAACACCGGUGGCGAAAGCGGCUCUCUGGCUUGUAACUGACGCUGAGGCUCGAAAGCGUGGGGAGCAAACAGGAUUAGAUACCCUGGUAGUCCACGCUGUAAACGAUGAGUGCUAGGUGUUAGACCCUUUCCGGGGUUUAGUGCCGUAGCUAACGCAUUAAGCACUCCGCCUGGGGAGUACGACCGCAAGGUU
RNAcentral lists this ribosomal RNA (549 nucleotides) under uncultured bacterium. RNAcentral describes it as "bacterial SSU rRNA". It matches the Rfam family "Bacterial small subunit ribosomal RNA", at positions 355 to 895 of the family's 1533-position model. The record is from RNAcentral.